GAUAAACGCUGGCGGCGCACAUAAGACAUGCAAGUCGAACGGACUUAACUCAUUCUUUUAGAUUGAGAGCGGUUAGUGGCGGACUGGUGAGUAACACGUGAGCAACCUGCCUUGGAGUGGGGGACAACAGAGGGAAACUUCUGCUAAUACCGCAUAAUGUGCUUUGGGGGCAUCCCCGAGGUACCAAAGAUUUAUCGCUCUAAGAUGGGCUCGCGUCUGAUUAGAUAGUUGGUGGGGUAACGGCCUACCAAGUCGACGAUCAGUAGCCGGACUGAGAGGUUGAACGGCCACAUUGGGACUGAGAUACGGCCCAG
RNAcentral lists this ribosomal RNA (314 nucleotides) under uncultured bacterium. RNAcentral's name for it is "bacterial SSU rRNA". It matches the Rfam family "Bacterial small subunit ribosomal RNA", at positions 28 to 334 of the family's 1533-position model. The record is from RNAcentral.